AUCCAACUGACGAGUCCGAAAUAGGACGAAACGCGCGUCCUGGAU
Molecule: non-coding RNA, 45 nt
Filed under: Schistosoma mansoni
Lineage: Eukaryota; Metazoa; Platyhelminthes; Trematoda; Strigeidida; Schistosomatidae
Source: RNAcentral